RNAcentral lists this ribosomal RNA (452 nucleotides) under uncultured bacterium. RNAcentral describes it as "partial 16S ribosomal RNA". It matches the Rfam family "Bacterial small subunit ribosomal RNA", at positions 29 to 523 of the family's 1533-position model. The record is from RNAcentral.
AACGAACGCUGGCGGCAGGCCUAAUACAUGCAAGUCGAACGGAUGUAGCAAUACAUUAGUGGCGCACGGGUGCCUAACGCGUGGGAACAUACCCUUGAGUAAGGAAUAAUGUCUGGAAACGGACACUAAUACCUUAUAAUGACUUCGGUCCAAAGAUUUAUCGCUCAAGGAUUGGCCCGCGUCUGAUUAGCUAGUUGGUGAGGUAACGGCUCACCAAGGCGACGAUCAGUAGCUGGUCUGAGAGGAUGAUCAGCCACACUGGGACUGAGACACGGGCCAGACUCCUACGGGAGGCGGCAGUAAGGAAUAUUGGACAAUGGGGGGAAACCCUGAUCCAGCCAUGCCGCGUGGGUGAAGAAGGCCUUAGGGUUGUAAAGCUCUUUCAAUAGUGAAGAUAAUGACGGUAGCUAUAGAAGAAGCCCCGGCUAAAUUCGUGCCAGCCGCCGCAGUAA